GACUUUAUGAUGCGUAAUCUUUCAACGAAUCUAACUCAUUCAAAAUUCUGGUGUGCUAAGAGUGAAGGAACUUGACUAAAUAAAACUCCGAUUAUAUAUUACAGGUUUUCCGCGGCGACUCCUUGCUGGCUGCUUUCUUGUGGUAAAUUAACUUGAAUGCCGCAAUGUAUUUACCGGUACUCCAGGCAAGGG
Molecule: long non-coding RNA, 192 nt
Organism: Drosophila rhopaloa
Lineage: Eukaryota; Metazoa; Arthropoda; Insecta; Diptera; Drosophilidae
Exons: 2
Source: RefSeq, a predicted model, not a curated record